Cricetulus griseus (Chinese hamster) is the source of this 280-nucleotide unclassified non-coding RNA. Its record names the gene 7SK. It matches the Rfam family "7SK RNA". Rfam says of the family: 7SK was discovered as an abundant small nuclear RNA in the mid-70s but a possible function has only recently been suggested. The record is from Ensembl. Lineage: Eukaryota; Metazoa; Chordata; Mammalia; Rodentia; Cricetidae.
UUAUGUGAGGUAAUUUGGCUGUGAUACUUUAUACCCCCAUUAACUGCUAGGGCGCAUUCGGCUUGUGUGGCUAGUGAGUUCUGGUGCCCCCCUUCACCUCUCAUACUUGUUAGUGGGAGAAUACAGCCAGCCUUCUUUCUGCCAAGGGUAUACGAGCAGCUGUGCUCCCAUGCUCUACAACCUUCAAACAAGCUUUCAAAGGCCACCAUUAGGUAGGAAGCCAAGCUUCCAAGACUCCAGCCUCAUCCAAAUGAGGCUCUGCACAGGGUAGUCUCUGUUU